RNAcentral lists this ribosomal RNA (495 nucleotides) under uncultured bacterium. RNAcentral's name for it is "partial 16S ribosomal RNA". It matches the Rfam family "Bacterial small subunit ribosomal RNA", at positions 30 to 507 of the family's 1533-position model. The record is from RNAcentral.
UGCACGCUGGCGGCGUGCCUAAUACAUGCAAGUCGAGCGAACAGACGAGGAGCUUGCUCCUCUGACGUUAGCGGCGGACGGGUGAGUAACACGUGGAUAACCUACCUAUAAGACUGGGAUAACUUCGGGAAACCGGAGCUAAUACCGGAUAAUAUAUUGAACCGCAUGGUUCAAUAGUGAAAGACGGUUUUGCUGUCACUUAUAGAUGGAUCCGCGCCGCAUUAGCUAGUUGGUAAGGUAACGGCUUACCAAGGCGACGAUGCGUAGCCGACCUGAGAGGGUGAUCGGCCACACUGGAACUGAGACACGGUCCAGACUCCUACGGGAGGCAGCAGUAGGGAAUCUUCCGCAAUGGGCGAAAGCCUGACGGAGCAACGCCGCGUGAGUGAUGAAGGUCUUCGGAUCGUAAAACUCUGUUAUUAGGGAAGAACAAAUGUGUAAGUAACUAUGCACGUCUUGACGGUACCUAAUCAGAAAGCCACGGCUAACUACGUG